Molecule: transfer-messenger RNA, 367 nt
Filed under: Mycobacterium tuberculosis
Lineage: Bacteria; Bacillati; Actinomycetota; Actinomycetes; Mycobacteriales; Mycobacteriaceae
Description: transfer-messenger RNA%2C SsrA
Rfam family: transfer-messenger RNA
About the family: Bacterial tmRNA, also known as 10Sa RNA or SsrA, is named for its dual tRNA and mRNA-like properties. Its role is to liberate the mRNA from a stalled ribosome.
Source: RNAcentral
GGGGCUGAACGGUUUCGACUUCGCGCAUCGAAUCAAGGGAAGCGUGCCGGUGCAGGCAAGAGACCACCGUAAGCGUCGUUGCGACCAAAUAAGCGCCGAUUCACAUCAGCGCGACUACGCUCUCGCUGCCUAAGCGACGGCUAGUCUGUCAGACCGGGAACGCCCUCGGCCCGGCCCCUGGCAUCAGCUAGAGGGAUCCACCGAUGAGUCCGGUCGCGGGACUCCUCGGGACAACCACAGCGACUGGGAUCGUCAUCUCGGCUAGUUCGCGUGACCGGGAGAUCCGAGCAGAGGCAUAGCGAACUGCGCACGGAGAAGCCUUGAGGGAAUGCCGUAGGACCCGGGUUCGAUUCCCGGCAGCUCCACC